RNAcentral lists this transfer RNA (76 nucleotides) under Candidatus Nealsonbacteria bacterium CG_4_10_14_0_2_um_filter_38_17. Its description in RNAcentral is "tRNA-Lys". It matches the Rfam family "tRNA". Rfam says of the family: Transfer RNA (tRNA) molecules are approximately 80 nucleotides in length. Their secondary structure includes four short double-helical elements and three loops (D, anti-codon, and T loops). The record is from RNAcentral. RNAcentral also lists the same sequence under 1 other name. Lineage: Bacteria; Candidatus Nealsoniibacteriota.
GCCCCUGUAGCUCAACUGGAAGAGCACUUGCCUCUUAAGCAAUUGGUUCCGCGUUCGAGCCGCGGCAGGGGCACAA